AGCUUUUUCUCACGGGCAUUGUCUCAAGCUUUCUCGGUUUCUCUUUUUUGCGACACUCUUUCAAACUCAUGCUCUCUCCCUCUCAAUUCUUACACAACAACAACUACGACGCAGAUUCUCUUGGUCUUGAAUUGGUUGGAUUUGGAUUUCAGAACUGAUUCGAAUUGUUAUCGACUCAGAAUUUGAUUCGCGUUGGGGGUUCAGAAUCUAUUUGUGCUCGAAAUUUCAACUCAGAGCAGUUUGAGUUAAAGUUACAGCAAGCAUACGAUAUCAUAAAGCUGAGAAUGGAGGAAUGCUUACCGGUUGAAGCGACGAGGAGAAGAAAAUGCAGCUUUCGAUCUUGCUCACAAGGUAUUCGAUAAAAUGCCUCACUGGAAUUUUUUCCUCUUUUUGCUUUUAUUUUACUUUUGAUUUGUUGCUGUUGUGUUUCUUAGUUGCUAUUGAUGUUGGUUUGCAUAUUAGCAUAGAAUUAUUGUCGUUAUUACCAUUUCGUACUAUUGCCGAUGAGAAGUAAUUAUUGUUCAUUGGAAUACAAUUUGUAGGAGUAAUUAUCGUGCUAUUGAGCCCUUUUCCAAUUGAUAGAACAUGUUAGUGGAAAUUCUAAUUAAUUUUCCAAUCAUUAUAGUCUAAAUGGACAUUAAUAAAUUUGUUGCUUUGCUUUCAUUUCAAAUUUUCAAGUUAGUGCCUUCAUACACCAAGGAAAUGAUAAACAUUGAAGAUUAUUCCCACCGCAUAGAAAAGUUGCAUGCCGCAUAGAAGUCUUUAAAAAGGGAUGCUAAGUUGCCUGAGAACAAUGAAAAAUGCUCCUGAGCUGACCUUUCAUGGGAGAGGGGGUGAAUAUAUUUUUAGGGGAUUUCAACAAGUAGAACUCUAGCCUUAGCAAAGUAUUUUGAGAGAAUGGAAGAGAGAAGCAGAGCUUUUUCAUGGUUCAGAUUUUGCAUUCGAGCCAAGUUUUCGCUACAGAGGCUCUUCGGAGAUAAAUAGUAGCUUUAAUGAAUGUAGAAGGAAUCAUUAGGGAACUUGUUGCAAGCCAUCUCCACGUUACAUGUUCUUUAAUAUUGUUCUUUACAAAGCUGUUGUUGCUAAAGCAGCUGGUAUAAUCCACUUCUAACCCUUUUUUAAAAUUUACUAAUAUUUAUUACCAGCCCCGGUUUGACAGCAAUGCAUUUUCUCUAUUUUGGCUAAUCAUGAUUUAAUUGUUUUGUAAUUUUUAAGGGGAUUAGCUUUUGUGAAUAGACUUUUCCUUUGUGUGUUAUGCUUCAUUAUAGUCUUGCAAAGUGAGACUUAUUUGUGGGUUUAAACAUACUACUAUUUUUAUGUGACAUAUAUUGAUCAGUUAAGCAGUUUCCCAAAUCCCAAUAUUGUUCUGUUUGGACCAUACAUGAAACAUGGACGACAUCAGCUAGUGGAGGGUUAUUAAAAGUUGACAGCUGCGUUAAAUAUCACCCAAACCUAUUAAGGAUUGACCUUGUUUGCUUACGAAAGAGAGAUGGUUUUGUAUCAUGAGAUUUUUGCGAAAAUAAAACAUGUCUGCACUCUGCAUUGUAUUAUCCACGCACUUUCUUUCUCCAGAUUUUCAUGUUUUACUAACUAACUAAGAUGGGAAAGAUUUCAUUAUAUUGAAAAAUGGAUGCCAAUAUGGGUUGAUAAGUCAUUACAUUAGGCUCAGUAAAUUGAGACUCUGAUCUGAUAGAUUUUUGUAGAGAUAGCCAUGUAAUAUGGCGGGGAAAAAGAUUUAUUAGGAUUCCUAUCCAAAUUAUGUUUCUAAGUGCUUUCUUGUUUCUACUGUUUUGAUGACUUCAUGCUUCUUUUUUGUUUAUGUUCAGUUUACUAAAAUUAUCAAUUUCCCCAAAAUUGUACAAUAGUGAAAGGGAGGGACGAAGGAGACAUCUUUUCUGCGAUGCCAGGCAGUGUCUCAAGAAAUCAGCCAAGAAUAUCCGCCAAAGAGGAGACUACUGUAAAUGCUUGCGGAUUUGAAGAAGAAAGUAUGAGCUCUAGUACAUUUGCUCUGCUGUGUAAACUGCCAAGUUUUAAUGUUUCCAUUUAAAUGCAAUUUGGAACUGAGAUAUGUAGCGUAUGGUGAACUAGUUACAGAAGCAGGACCACCUUUAUGCGGCCAGAUUAAAACUUCACCGAAACAGUAAGUGGAUACUUUUAUAUGUUACUGUUAUUGAGCCUUAAACUUUAUAUGACCAAAGAGAAUGAUUGCAUUGUUUUCUUGUUUCUUCUAACUAAUUGUUCUACUUAGUUAGGCAUCUGUGGCAAAUAAACAGAUAAAAGGUGUUCUCACUUCUCAAUUAAUCUAGAAGCAUAUGUCAAACAUAUGUUUAUUCACUUAGUGUUUGAAUGGCUUUAGAUGACUGCACUAUGCCUUUUUCUUUCUUUCUUUAUAUGGGUGUGUGGUAUUUGGAUUGGUGAAGUUGGGAUUUUUAAGACUUCAUUAGUUGCUUUGGUUUCUUUGGCUCGGGGAAUUUUAGAACUUCCAAACUAAUUUAAAUAUAAACCAAGUGAUAGAAUUUGAGGAGUGUCACUAAAGCUGUAAUUUAAAAAGUGUUAGCUCAUUUGUUACUAUUAGUGGGAUAGCUCAAAGAAAAUUAUAGAAAGAUGUAGAAAUAGAUUAUUGGGUCAUAAUAUUAAUGUAAUUAGUAGAGUGAAGUGUGAGGAACUCUUUCUUUAAGUGUUUACAAUAUAUUUCUCUCAUUCUUUUCUCUUCUAUAAGCAAUUUCUACUUUUUAGAUUUAUUGAAUAAAUGAUAUAUUUAGACUAUUUAUAAAUUAGAGAUCUUCCUAAAAAGAUGGCUGGGGAAUUGAUGAGAAUGCAGCUAAAAGGACCUGGUGGCUUUAUUACACUAUCAAAUAUUUAUGCCACUGAAGGUGAUUGGGAAGAGGUUGGGAAUGUGAGAAAGGUGAUGAAGGAAAGAAAUGUCAGUAAGUUUCCUGGUUUUAGUUGGCUUGAAAAGCCAUGUGAGAUUCUCAAAGGGAAGGAAGAUUAAGAGGUGGCUGUUGGGUUGAAUUUAUUCUUCAACACAGUGUUAAAUUUCAGGUGGAGAUUCUCUGAAUAAUGAGUUUCUGCUAAGAUCAAGCUUUGGCACUUGAUUUAGUCCUCCAAUGGAGCUUGGGAUUGGACCGAGAAUUGAUUUCUGCCAAGCAAAAUGUUUUGAAGGGAAGGGAAAUUUGAGAGUGAAUUUAGUAAAGGACCAGACAAGGCAUUGUUUGACAAAUCAAGUUGUUCGAAUCUAAAACUAACUGGCUGAGAUGAACUGUUAGUAUUCUCUGACAAAGUUCCUAACAAGUUUAAGGGUAAUUUCACUAAUGAAGUUGUUCAUUCACAGCCUAAGUGUCUCUAAAGCUGGUAAGUCUGCAAUGUAAUCCGGCAUUGAUUUCUACCAUUGAUGUUUGUAGUACGAUUUUUGAUGCCACAACAAUUUUCAAACAUUGGAGAAGGAAAGCACUCUUAACAGUUAACAGUAUUUGCUCAUUCUCUUUAUUACUAUAUUGCUUUCCAAGAUUACAUAUAUAUUUGAUAGUUGCUUUCCAACAUUGGAAGCAUGAAGAUUAUUGAUAGGAAGAAGAAUAUAUUCAAGGUUUCACAGGGCGAAUAUAUCGCAGUUGAAAAUCUGGAGAAUAUUAUUAUUUUUCGGUUAAUAGUACUUUAUCCCCCUGUAAUAUGAGCGUGUUUCGGUUUACCCCCCUACCGUUGCCAAAGGCAGGUUUUGGCAACGGUUUUUUUGAAAAAACCGUUGCCAAAAGGUAGGGAGGGGGAAAAAGCAAAAUUCGCUAAUAUUACAAGGGGGUGAAAGUACUAUUAACCCUUAUUUUUCUAUAGUAACUUGUUCUAUAAAUUUGUAU
This is a long non-coding RNA of Vicia villosa (hairy vetch), 3848 nucleotides long. RefSeq lists it as uncharacterized. The transcript is spliced from 4 exons. The record is from RefSeq and is a predicted model, not a curated record. NCBI's taxonomy places the organism in Eukaryota, Viridiplantae, Streptophyta, Magnoliopsida, Fabales, Fabaceae.